GCCUACGGGAGGCAGCAGUAGGGAAUUUUCGUCAAUGGGCGCAAGCCUGAACGAGCAAUGCCGCGUGAACGAGGAAGGUCUUCGGAUCGUAAAGUUCUGUUGAAGGGGAAAAAGAGCGGAGAGAGGAAAUGCUUUCUGAUUGAUAUUACCCUUCGAGGAAGUCACGGCUAACUACGUGCCAGCAGCCGCGGUAAUACGUAGGUGGCGAGCGUUAUCCGGAGUGAUUGGGCGUAAAGGGUGCGUAGGCGGCCUGCUAAGUCUGGAGUGAAAGGUACCGGCUCAACCGGUACAGGCUCUGGAAACUG
Molecule: ribosomal RNA, 305 nt
Filed under: uncultured bacterium
Lineage: Bacteria
Description: bacterial SSU rRNA
Rfam family: Bacterial small subunit ribosomal RNA
Source: RNAcentral